CCAAAUAGAGGUGAAUUUUUGUUAAUAAUUUUACUGGGUUCUCCCUUCUUCUAUAAGUUUAAAUCUAGCUAAAAAUAUAAACUUUAUUUAAUGUAUAUGAAAUCAUAGAAUUAAUCAAAAGAUACUUAGUACAAAAAUUUUUAUUAACUAGUUAAUCUAGUAAAAGUAAAUAAAUGAUCCAUUAGGUGCCAGCAUUCGCGGUUACACCUAUAUUUGUUAUAUUAUUCACGGACUAGGACCUGAUACCAAACAUCAAAAACUUUAGAGGUAAAAUUCUGCUUGUUUUUUAAAAAACUUUAACACCUUAUAAAUUAACCCAUAAACAGGGAUUAGAUACCCCUCUAUACAACAUAAGCCACACCUAGGGUAGUAGAUGUUAUACAACUUUAAACCCAAAGAAUUUGGCGGCAAUCAACCUUUCCAGAGAGACCUGUUUAUUUAUUUGAUAAUCCACACUAAAUCUUACUUUUACUAAAACUUGCAUACCGUCAUCUAAAUUUUAUCCUAAGAUAAAUAUUUUAAAGGUAACAAAAAUGUUAGAUCAACGCGCAGUAAAUAUAAAAGCUCAUAAUGGGUCUCAAUUUAAACUAAAUAGAAAAGACUUUAAUAAACUUCAUAAAGAGGAUUUGGCCGUAAUACUUUUUUAAAAAAAUAAUAUGAAUAAGCCAUUGAUUGUGUACAUAUCGCCCGUCGCCCUCGAUCCGAGGUAAGUCGUAACAUAGUAGAAGUACUAGAAAGUGUUUCUUUAUUUAU
This 753-nucleotide ribosomal RNA is filed under the name Proasellus ebrensis. Its description in RNAcentral is "12S ribosomal RNA". Lineage: Eukaryota; Metazoa; Arthropoda; Malacostraca; Isopoda; Asellidae. The record is from RNAcentral.